UGCAGAAUCCCAAGAAGCAUCCGUUCUUCAUCCCAAAAUACCAACCAGGUUCAUCCCAUUCGACUCCAGUGCCCUCCAGCCGUUCUUUGAAGCCCAUGAGACGUCCCUGUUUCAAGGAAAUAUCAGCCGGUUGCCAUGGGAUUUUGAACGCUGCUGUUAUUCAUCCAAGAAGAGGCCAUCCCGAUCCAUUUCAACAUCGUAUUCUCCAUCACGAGUCUUCCCAGCUUCCACGGUUCCUUGGAACGAUUAAUUUCCAUCACUUUGGCUUGAAUGUAUCAGCCGGUUACGGGGCCAUUUAUUUCUUCUUUAUCAUGUACUGGUUGCUCUGCCUAUAAAAGGGGUUUAUCUUGUUAUGUUGGAAAUGAAAUGAAAAGAAGAGAAGCUGUUUGAUGUAUUGCCUGAAAGAAGUUUGGUGUCCAAUCCCAAGAUCCCACCCUCCUUCCUUCUUUAAAAUCCUUCUCUUCUAAGUGACGCGGCGUCCCCCCUGACUUCCACAACUUCUUCUAGCGUAGGCGGCGCUCAUCAUCCGGCUUCCCGUUCUCUCUUCCGGACUCCUUCCCGAUCCGGCGAAUCUUCGUCCGGAUUAUUUAUCCUUUGAUUAGACUAUUGUGUUUUGUUUUUCCAAACAUCCUGCUACCUCAAUUAACCCAGGACUUCUGUUCCAGAUCUUGUCGGUUUCCUCCAUCCGUCUCAACGAAGGGCGACCCGUCAGCGAAUCAGGACCCUGGACUUGCCUCCCUCUUCCAGGAUUUUUUUCUCGAGCAUCGUGUCCGUGUGAUCCUUCUACUACAAUUCUGAGUAAGUCGUUAUUGGAUUCAGUUAAGUUCCCAAAUUUUUAUACUUAACAGCAGGAAACUUAAAGUAGAACAACGUGCCCUAAUUAUGUGUUGAUUUCCUAAUCAUCAACGAUCCUUCUUUAAAAUUUGUUAAAGGAACUGAUCAAUUGUCGGUAGUUUCUUACAGUAAAUUCGAUUUUUAAUAUAAUCAUCUGAUAGCUGUUAGAUUUGAGUUGGCUAAUAGUUUAUGAAUUGGGUUGCUGAAAUCUAAUUAUAUAUAUAUAAAAAAAAGAAUUAGUUUGCAUGCAUUGAUC
RNAcentral lists this long non-coding RNA (1090 nucleotides) under Phoenix dactylifera (date palm). RNAcentral describes it as "long non-coding RNA (PDAC_LNC015960)". Lineage: Eukaryota; Viridiplantae; Streptophyta; Magnoliopsida; Arecales; Arecaceae. The record is from RNAcentral.